RNAcentral lists this ribosomal RNA (310 nucleotides) under uncultured bacterium. RNAcentral's name for it is "partial 16S ribosomal RNA". It matches the Rfam family "Bacterial small subunit ribosomal RNA", at positions 503 to 807 of the family's 1533-position model. The record is from RNAcentral.
AAGAGACAGCAGCAGCCACGGUAAGACAGAGGAUGCAAGCGUUAUCCGGAAUGAUUGGGCGUAAAGCGUCUGUAGGUGGCUUUUCAAGUCCGCCGUCAAAUCCCAGGGCUCAACCCUGGACAGGCGGUGGAAACUACCAAGCUGGAGUACGGUAGGGGCAGAGGGAAUUUCCGGUGGAGCGGUGAGAUGCGUUGAGAUCGGAAGGAACGCCCGUGGCGAAAGCGGGCCCCUGGACACCACCUGACGCUGAGACGCGAAAGCCAGGGGAGCGAACGGGAUUAGAUACCCGAGUAGUCCCUGUCUCUUAUAC